CCUACGGGUGGCAGCAGUGCGGAAUCUUGGUCAAUGGGCGCGAGCCUGAACCAGCCAAGUCGCGUGAGGGAAGACGGUCCUAUGGAUUGUAAACCUCUUUUGUCGGGGAGCAAAAGACGCCACGCGUGGCGUUCCGAGAGUACCCUAAGAAAUAGCAUCGGCUAACUCCGUGCCAGCAGACGCGGUAAUACGGGGGAUGCGAGCGUUAUCCGGAUUUGUUGGGUUUAAAGGAUGCGCAGGCGGAAGAUCAAGUUAGCGGUAAAAUUGAGAGGCUCAACCUCGUCGAGCCGUUGAAACUGGUUUUCUUGAGUGAGCGAGAAGUAUGCGGAAUGCGAGGUGUAGCGGUGAAAUGCAUAGAUAUCACGCAGAACUCCGAUUGCGAAGGCAGCAUACCGGCGCUCAACUGACGCUCAUGCACGAAAGUGUGGGUAUCGAACAGGAUUAGAUACCCGGGUAGUC
Molecule: ribosomal RNA, 459 nt
Filed under: uncultured bacterium
Lineage: Bacteria
Description: partial 16S ribosomal RNA
Rfam family: Bacterial small subunit ribosomal RNA
Source: RNAcentral